Mercenaria mercenaria is the source of this 1302-nucleotide long non-coding RNA. RefSeq lists it as uncharacterized. Lineage: Eukaryota; Metazoa; Mollusca; Bivalvia; Venerida; Veneridae. The transcript is spliced from 3 exons. The record is from RefSeq and is a predicted model, not a curated record.
AAAUGCAACAUAUGAUUAUAAAAAUAUACUAUAUAACAGAGCCCACAAAAUCACAAGAAGUAAAGUUGAGAGAGGAAUUGGGCAACUGAAGAGAAGGUUUGGGAUAUUGCAUGGAGAAAUUAGAAUGAAACCAGAGAAAGCCUGCAGAGUUAUCACUGCAUGCGCAGUACUGCACAACAUUUGCAAGCAGAGAGACAUUCCAUUGCCUGAUGUGGACAAUGAGGACCAAGAUGACCAGCCACAAAAUGCAAUUGACCCAAAUGCUCCACAAGUGGGACUGAGAUAUAGAGAUUACAUUGCAAACAGUUAUUUUUGAACAAUUAGGAUUUCUAUCUUCCUAUGACAGUUGCAUCUGCAACAAACCACUUGAACUGAAGAGGACUGAUUAGGAAUUGCUCGAGCUGAAGUGGAAUUUCUGAAAUAGUAACACAAUACAUGUUGAUUCAAGAAGAUUUAGAGACCAAUUGAUCAUCUAAUGGGGUUAAUGAUUCAACCAUCUGUGUGAAUGAAUACCGGCAAUCAUACAUGAAGUAUCACAAUCAGACAUGAAGUAUCCUGCCAGUGCAAAAAAAAUUCAGUUAUUCAUGACAGCAUGGUUCUUUCCUGAACCAGUUUUGAAAUGAACCAGUACUUAAUAUUUCAAUAUAUACUGGACAAUAUAUUUUACAAUGCCAUCAUACAUUUACCAUUGUUCAAUGAAAAUUAAAUCUCAAUUAAUGAUUUGUCAAUGAAUAAAACCAAUGUCUGGAGUUCAAAUGUGAAGGAAUUAUAUCAUGAGGGUGCAGCCUAAGAGAUACAAAAAUACACAUCUGAACAACAAACAAUGAAUAUAUUAAAAAGGAAUUCACUGAAUGAGAUAUAUUGUUUCUAAACUAAGACAUUAUCAUGAACUUUAAUGUACAUAAUUGAUGACAUCCAUUUAAAUUUUGAUGAUUUUGUAAGUUUCUUUUCCAGUGGCCCAGUGCUCUCCUUUGCCUCUUGACACAAUAAGUGUGACUGAAGAGAAAAUAAACUGUUGUAUAAUAACACAAAAUUUUCACCAGGCUUUUAUUAAUAUAAGAAUCAGUUUGAGCUAAAAUUAACCAUCUUGUACAUUUUUUUUUCAAAAUCAAGGAGUUCUUUUGUUGUUCAAUGCAAGUCAACUCAUACCAGAAUGAUGUGUGAUCCUCUUCAAGAGUAUUUACUACGUCUGUAUCAGGAACACUAACAUGUGUAGUCCUGAAAUUUUUGUAUAGAUUCUUGAGUACACAUGUAUCACAAUUAUUUCACAUCAAAAUGAUUGCAGUAAAGCAUUUGUCAGUG